AUUGAACGCUGGCGGCAUGCCUUACACAUGCAAGUCGAACGGCAGCACGGGAGCAAUCCUGGUGGCGAGUGGCGAACGGGUGAGUAGUACAUCGGAACGUGCCUAGUAGUGGGGGAUAGCCCGGCGAAAGCCGGAUUAAUACCGCAUACGACCUGAGGGUGAAAGCGGGGGAUCGCAAGACCUCGCGCUAUCAGAGCGGCCGAUGCCAGAUUAGGUAGUUGGUGGGGUAAAAGCCUACCAAGCCGACGAUCUGUAGCUGGUAUGAGAGGACGACCAGCCACACUGGGACUGAGACACGGCCCAGACGCCUACGGGAGGCAGCAGUGGGGAAUUUUGGACAAUGGGCGCAAGCCUGAUCCAGCCAUGCCGCGUGCAGGAAGAAGGCCUUCGGGUUGUAAACUGCUUUUGUCAGGGAAGAAAAGUUCUGGGCUAAUACCCCGGAGCGAUGACGGUACCUGAAGAAUAAGCACCGGCUAACUACGUGCCAGCCGCCGCCGUAA
This 500-nucleotide ribosomal RNA is filed under the name uncultured bacterium. RNAcentral's name for it is "partial 16S ribosomal RNA". It matches the Rfam family "Bacterial small subunit ribosomal RNA", at positions 29 to 523 of the family's 1533-position model. The record is from RNAcentral.